AUGAUGAAAAAAAAGGGAAUGAGGAGAAGCACCUGCUCUCUGUUCCCUGGGCCUUUUAGAAUGCAUGGAGUUGUUCCUUUGGACACACACACGUGAAUCUACAAGAAGGGAGAUGUUGUAGACAUCAAGGGAAUGGGUACUGUUCAAAAAGGAAUACCUCACAAAUGUUACCAUGGCAAAGCUGGAAGUCUACAGUGCUACCCAGCAUGCUAUUGGCAUUUCUGUAAACAAACAAUAUUCUAGCCAAGAGAAUUACUGUAUAUGUUGAGCAUAUGAAGUACUUAAAGAGCCAAGAUAGUUUCCUAAACGCGGAAGGAAAACGAUCAGAAAACGAAGGAACCCAAAGAGAAACGUACCUGGGUUCCGCUGAAGCACCAGCCUGCUCUACGCAGAGAAGCACACUUAGUGAACCAACAGAAGAGGGCCUGAGCUGCUGGAACCUGUUCCCUAUGAAUUUAUG
RNAcentral lists this long non-coding RNA (460 nucleotides) under Homo sapiens (human). Its description in RNAcentral is "non-protein coding lnc-GTF2A2-5:1". Lineage: Eukaryota; Metazoa; Chordata; Mammalia; Primates; Hominidae. The record is from RNAcentral.